RNAcentral lists this ribosomal RNA (245 nucleotides) under uncultured bacterium. Its description in RNAcentral is "partial 16S ribosomal RNA". It matches the Rfam family "Bacterial small subunit ribosomal RNA", at positions 796 to 1041 of the family's 1533-position model. The record is from RNAcentral.
CACGCCCUAAACUAUGAUGACUAGAUGUUGGUCCUUCGGGAUCAGUGUCGUAGCUAACGCGUUAAGUCAUCCGCCUGAGUAGUACGACCGCAAGGUUAAAACUCAAAUGAAUAGACGGGGGCCCACACAAGCAGUGGAUCAUGCGGUUUAAUUCGAUACUGAACGAGGAACCUUACCCAGACUUGAUAUCUAGAAAACCCUGUAGAAAUAUGGGGGUGCCCGCAAGGGAAUUCUAAGACAGGUGC